AGGUAGCAUAAUCAUUUGUUAUCUAAAUGAUAACUAGUAUGAAUGGUCUGACGAGAAAAUAACUUUCUAAAAAGAAAUAAUAAAAAUUUAUCUUAAAGUAAAAAAGCUUUAAAAACUUAGAAAGACGAGAAGACCCUAGAACCUGUCUAUCUGCAUAGUUUGUUGGGGUGACAUUAUUUUAAAACAAAUAACUAUUUUAACUCAUUAAGAGACUUUACCUAUCUUUUUUAAAAAAAAAAAAGGUACUCUAGGGAUAACAGCAUAAUCUUCUUUUAGAGCCCUAAUCGACAAGAAAGAUUUUGACCUCGAUGUUGAAUUGAUAUUCCUUCUUAAAGCAGAA
This 340-nucleotide ribosomal RNA is filed under the name Armadillo officinalis (oak-woodland pillbug). Its description in RNAcentral is "partial large subunit ribosomal RNA". It matches the Rfam family "Bacterial large subunit ribosomal RNA", at positions 1954 to 2563 of the family's 2925-position model. Lineage: Eukaryota; Metazoa; Arthropoda; Malacostraca; Isopoda; Armadillidae. The record is from RNAcentral.